This 272-nucleotide long non-coding RNA is filed under the name Monodelphis domestica (gray short-tailed opossum). Its description in RNAcentral is "lncRNA (ENSMODG00000043300.1)". The record is from RNAcentral. Lineage: Eukaryota; Metazoa; Chordata; Mammalia; Didelphimorphia; Didelphidae.
CAUCUCUGCCAGUCUCAGGCUGAGCCGCCAUCAUUGGAGUGGGAAAGAACCAGAAACUAAGGAGGUGUCAUUCACUUAUGAAGUACUUGAAAUGAAGAAAUGAUGAAGAAGGUAGUUUCAGAGAAACCUGAGAAUGAACUGAUGCAGAAUAAAUGACCAGAACCAAGAGCAAAAUACUCUAGGUUCAGUGGCUGGGUCCUGUUGAAGGGUCCCAAGCAUGUGAAGAUUUCCUGGAGAACAAUUUGUUCCAACAGCCAGGAAGGCGGCUGAGG